Molecule: ribosomal RNA, 323 nt
Filed under: uncultured eukaryote
Lineage: Eukaryota
Description: partial 18S ribosomal RNA
Rfam family: Eukaryotic small subunit ribosomal RNA
Source: RNAcentral
CCCUUAGAUGUUCUGGGCCGCACACGCGCUACACUGAAUAGAUCAGCGUGUCACCCUUCCCGAAAGGGACGGGUAAACGCUUGAACCCUAUUCGUGGUAGGGAUCGGGGCUUGCAAUUGUUCCCCGUGAACCAGGAAUUCCCAGUAGGCGCAAGUCAUAAGCUUGCGUCGAUUACGUCCCUGCCCUUUGUACACACCGCCCGUCGCUACUACCGAUUGAACAUUUUAGUGAGGUCCUCGGACUGUGAGCCUGGCGGGUCGCCCUGCCUGGUCUACGGGAAGACGACCAAACUGUAGUGUUUAGAGGAAGUAAAAGUCGUAACA